RNAcentral lists this long non-coding RNA (361 nucleotides) under Vombatus ursinus (common wombat). Its description in RNAcentral is "lncRNA (ENSVURG00010022998.1)". Lineage: Eukaryota; Metazoa; Chordata; Mammalia; Diprotodontia; Vombatidae. The record is from RNAcentral.
GUACAAUGGGCUGCCUAUGACUCAUACCUGAAAUCAAUUAGAAUUAAUACUGCUAUGUCCCUUCCUUCUUCCUCACAAAGACAAGUCCACUGAUAAGGGCAAGUGUAAAAUGGUGUUGAAGCCAUAGUAAGAGCAUCAAGAACAGUAUUCUAUCUGUUCAGUGGUGUUUGAGGUGUUAAGUAAGAGAGACAGAGAACAUUGUUUGUUAUACCAAGUAGGCAUUGCCCUGACCACCAAUUCUGCACAGUAUGGCAAGCAACAAAUCAGUUGAGGAAAUGAGUUUCCUCUAUAACGCUUCCUGGAAGAGGAAAUCGAUCUAAUGAGCCAUUUGCAACAAGCUUGGAUCAUGUAGCUGCUGAAA